Molecule: ribosomal RNA, 484 nt
Filed under: uncultured bacterium
Lineage: Bacteria
Description: partial 16S ribosomal RNA
Rfam family: Bacterial small subunit ribosomal RNA
Source: RNAcentral
AUUGAACGCUGGCGGCAGGCCUAACACAUGCAAGUCGAGCGGAUGAAGGGAGCUUGCUCCUGGAUUCAGCGGCGGACGGGUGAGUAAUGCCUAGGAAUCUGCCUGGUAGUGGGGGAUAACGUCCGGAAACGGGCGCUAAUACCGCAUACGUCCUGAGGGAGAAAGUGGGGGAUCUUCGGACCUCACGCUAUCAGAUGAGCCUAGGUCGGAUUAGCUAGUUGGUGGGGUAAAGGCCUACCAAGGCGACGAUCCGUAACUGGUCUGAGAGGAUGAUCAGUCACCCUGGAACUGGGACACGGUCCAGACUCCUACGGGAGGCAGCAGUGGGGAAUAUUGGCCAAUGGGCGAAAGCCUGAUCCAGCCAUGCCGCGUGUGUGAAGAAGGUCUUCGGAUUGUAAAGCCCUUUAAGUUGGGAGGAAGGGCAGUAAGUUAAUACCUUGCUGUUUUGACGUUACCCACAGAAUAAGCACCGGCUAACUUCGUG